Molecule: ribosomal RNA, 477 nt
Filed under: uncultured Bacteroidota bacterium
Lineage: Bacteria; Pseudomonadati; Bacteroidota
Description: bacterial SSU rRNA
Rfam family: Bacterial small subunit ribosomal RNA
Source: RNAcentral
UAAGGAAUAUUGGUCAAUGGACGCAAGUCUGAACCAGCCAUGCCGCGUGGAGGAUGAAGGUCCUCUGGAUUGUAAACUUCUUUUAUCUGGGACGAAAAAGGGUCUUUCUAGAUCAACUGACGGUACCAGAUGAAUAAGCACCGGCUAACUCCGUGCCAGCAGCCGCGGUAAUACGGAGGGUGCAAGCGUUAUCCGGAUUCACUGGGUUUAAAGGGUGCGUAGGUGGGUUGGUAAGUCAGUGGUGAAAUCCCCGAGCUUAACUUGGGAACUGCCAUUGAUACUAUCAGUCUUGAAUAUUGUGGAGGUUAGCGGAAUAUGUCAUGUAGCGGUGAAAUGCUUAGAUAUGACAUAGAACACCAAUUGCGAAGGCAGCUGGCUACGCAUAUAUUGACACUGAGGCACGAAAGCGUGGGGAUCAAACAGGAUUAGAUACCCUGGUAGUCCACGCCCUAAACUAUGGAUACUCGACAUCAGCGA